This 248-nucleotide ribosomal RNA is filed under the name uncultured Coprococcus sp. RNAcentral's name for it is "partial 16S ribosomal RNA". It matches the Rfam family "Bacterial small subunit ribosomal RNA", at positions 524 to 771 of the family's 1533-position model. Lineage: Bacteria; Bacillati; Bacillota; Clostridia; Lachnospirales; Lachnospiraceae. The record is from RNAcentral.
UACGUAUGGUGCAAGCGUUAUCCGGAUUUACUGGGUGUAAAGGGAGCGUAGACGGUUGUGUAAGUCUGAUGUGAAAACCCGGGGCUCAACCCCGGGACUGCAUUGGAAACUAUGCAGCUAGAGUGCCGGAGAGGUAAGCGGAAUUCCUAGUGUAGCGGUGAAAUGCGUAGAUAUUAGGAGGAACACCAGUGGCGAAGGCGGCUUACUGGACGGUAACUGACGUUGAGGCUCGAAAGCGUGGGGAGCAA